AAGAAAACUGAAGCACAAGGAAGACAAGGGAGAAGCAUCACGUGGCCAGUGGCAUUUCCAGUGCCUUCAUUACCAAUGCCAUGCACAGAAGAAGAUGGGGUGCAAUCAGGACUGCAGCAACACGAGAUCUAUGAGGAUUCUACAGGGCACAAUCCACUGGAGGUUUAAGACCAUAAACCAUGGAGGCUGGUGGAGGCAGGAGGAGAAGGAGCAAUGUGAGAGGGAAGAAUUAGGGUCCAGUCUCCUGUUUGACUGGAGACCUGCAGGAAUCCAGAGACAACAUUAAACUUCCUUUUAGGAAAGGCUUCUACUCCGCAGUCACAUUUGAAUGUAUAACCACACAGAUGAAGGUUGUUACCUCGUAAGUCCUUCACUGCUCUACAGAUGUUUUUGAAAAUAGAGAAAGAAACCACAGAAAGCUGGACACAGUGAUAGGGGACAGUGGGGAUAUAGAUAAUCAAAAACCCUUAAAAAAUGUCUCUUUUCCUUCUGAAUUUUCAGCGUUUAUAUUCCAUAACCAAUUCUUAACUAAGAAUAGCUAGUGUCAUUCUGCUGUUUUUAUUGUAUGCAUAUAUAGAGAGAAACUCACACAAACAAACAAACAGAUUCUCCAUGGGCCAGCAAAACCAAACCAUCCAAUUAGAAACCUUCUGAGAUUCUGCAGAAAGGGGAAUAAGUAACACCUACUGCUGAGUGCAGGUCUUCAGACUCCCCAAGACAGGGCAGUUUGCAGGGGGCAGUUACAAUACCAGUCUCUUUUGGGGAAAUAUG
Long non-coding RNA from Anser brachyrhynchus (Pink-footed goose), 771 nucleotides. NCBI's taxonomy places the organism in Eukaryota, Metazoa, Chordata, Aves, Anseriformes, Anatidae. The record is from Ensembl.